RNAcentral lists this ribosomal RNA (515 nucleotides) under uncultured bacterium. Its description in RNAcentral is "partial 16S ribosomal RNA". It matches the Rfam family "Bacterial small subunit ribosomal RNA", at positions 28 to 523 of the family's 1533-position model. The record is from RNAcentral.
GAUGAACGCUGGCGGCGUGCCUAAUACAUGCAAGUCGAGCGAAUGGAUUAAGAGCUUGCUCUUAUGAAGUUAGCGGCGGACGGGUGAGUAACACGUGGGUAACCUGCCCAUAAGACUGGGAUAACUCCGGGAAACCGGGGCUAAUACCGGAUAACAUUUUGAACCGCAUGGUUCGAAAUUGAAAGGCGGCUUCGGCUGUCGCUUAUGGAUGGACCCGCGUCGCAUUAGCUAGUUGGUGAGGUAACGGCUCACCAAGGCAACGAUGCGUAGCCGAGCUGAGAGGGUGAUCGGCUACACUGGGACUGAGACACGGCCCAGACUCCUACGGGAGGCAGCAGUAGGGAAUCUUCCGCAAUGGACGAAAGUCUGACGGAGCAACGCCGCGUGAGUGAUGAAGGCUUUCGGGUCGUAAAACUCUGUUGUUAGGGAAGAACAAGUGCUAGUUGAAUAAGCUGGCACCUUGACGGUACCUAACCAGAAAGCCACGGCUAACUACGUGCCAGCCGCCGCAGUAA